GUCUGUGUGGCGUAAUUGGUCAGUGUAUUUGGCUGUUAACCGAAAGGAUAGUCGUUUGAGCCCAACCAGGGAUG
Megalops atlanticus (tarpon) is the source of this 74-nucleotide non-coding RNA. The record is from the annotation of a GenBank genome assembly. Lineage: Eukaryota; Metazoa; Chordata; Actinopteri; Elopiformes; Megalopidae.